This 541-nucleotide ribosomal RNA is filed under the name uncultured bacterium. RNAcentral's name for it is "bacterial SSU rRNA". It matches the Rfam family "Bacterial small subunit ribosomal RNA", at positions 777 to 1329 of the family's 1533-position model. The record is from RNAcentral.
AAUAGAUACCCGGGUAGUCCACGCCGUAAACGAUGGAUACUAGCUGUUGGAGGUAUCGACCCCUUCAGUAGCGAAGCUAACGCGUUAAGUAUCCCGCCUGUGGAGUACGGUCGCAAGACUAAAACAUAAAGGAAUUGACGGGGACCCGCACAAGCGGUGGAUCGUGUUCUUUAAUUCGAUGCUAAACGAAGAACCUUACCAGGGUUUGACAUCCCUUGAAUUAAUCCGAAAGGAUUGAGUGCUUUAUUGAACAAGGUGACAGGUGAUGCAUGGCCGUCGUCAGCUCGUGUCGUGAGAUGUUUGGUUAAGUCCAUCAACGAGCGCAACCCUUGCAAGUAGUUGUAUUUUUCUACUUGGACUGCCCCGGUAACGGGGAGGAAGGAGGGGAUGAUGUCAGGUCAGUAUUUCCCUUACAUCCUGGGCUAGAAACACGAUACAAUGGCUAGUACAAUGCGCAGCGAAGCCGCGAGGUGAAGCAAAUCGCAUCAAAAGCUAGUCCCAGUUCGGAUUGGAAGGCUGAAACUCGCCUCCAUGAAGUCGG